GAUGAACGCUAGCGGGAGGCUUAACACAUGCAAGUCGAGGGGCAGCACGAUGUAGCAAUACGUUGGUGGCGACCGGCGCACGGGUGAGUAACACGUAUGUAACCUACCCUGUACAGGGGGAUAACCCGGAGAAAUUCGGACUAAUACUCCAUGGAGAUAUACUGGGGCAUCCUGGUAUAUUUAAAGCUUCGGUGGUACGGGAUGGGCAUGCGGAACAUUAGCUAGUUGGUAGGGUAAAGGCCUACCAAGGCGACGAUCUUUAGCGGGUCUGAGAGGACGAUCCGCCACACUGGGACUGAGACACGGCCCAGACUCCUACGGGAGGCAGCAGUGGGGAAUUUUGGACAAUGGGCGAAAGCCUGAUCCAGCAAUGCCGCGUGAGUGAAGAAGGCCUUCGGGUUGUAAAGCUCUUUUGUUUGGGUAAGAAAGUCCUAAAGGCUAAUAUCCUUUGGGGAUGACGGUACCAAAGAAUAAGCACCGGCUAACUACGUGCCAGCAGCCGCGGUAAAUCACGUGUAC
This 519-nucleotide ribosomal RNA is filed under the name uncultured bacterium. RNAcentral's name for it is "bacterial SSU rRNA". It matches the Rfam family "Bacterial small subunit ribosomal RNA", at positions 28 to 535 of the family's 1533-position model. The record is from RNAcentral.